AUUGAAAAUACAUCUUCUUUUGAGACUGCUGGUUUAAAAAAAUGUCAGACGAUACCAAUAUAGAACAAAUUAAACUACACAAAACAAUAGCAAACGGAUAGCAUACAUAAGAUUGAGCAGCUGAAACACCACAAAAACCCGAACACAAGUAAUGUUGAAGGUUAUCUUAUCGAUAAGUAACAACAAUAUGCAAGACGCAGUAAAAAAAAUGAUUUUAUAUUCAUAUAUAGAAAC
This 234-nucleotide long non-coding RNA is filed under the name Mytilus galloprovincialis (Mediterranean mussel). Lineage: Eukaryota; Metazoa; Mollusca; Bivalvia; Mytilida; Mytilidae. The record is from RNAcentral.